Molecule: long non-coding RNA, 401 nt
Filed under: Zostera marina
Lineage: Eukaryota; Viridiplantae; Streptophyta; Magnoliopsida; Alismatales; Zosteraceae
Description: long non-coding RNA (ZMAR_LNC004657)
Source: RNAcentral
UCCUCAGAUUCAGCGUCAGCACGAUCGCGAAUCUCCGUAGCUUCUUUCGGGUGCUCUCGGGCCCAGCUAUGGACAUCAUCAACUUCAAAACCAGGGCAUACGUGAGGGCCCAGAUCCACCAGAUCAUUAUAAUCUCGCACGUUAGCGAGAAACUCGGUUUGAAUCUUGCCCAGAGUUUCCAUCAUCCUCUGGUUUUCUUCAGUCUUUUCAGCCAAGGCAGCUUUCAAGUUCUCAAUUUCAGCCUCCCUGUCACUCAGCUAUUGGGAAGUAUCAUUGUGCUUCUUUUGUAGCACUUCCCACUCCGCGUGCUCUUCAUUCAAUCGCACCGUAAGAAGAUUCUUUUCAUACAUCGCCGAGUCAAAGGACUCUCUGGUAGAUUUAAGUUCCUGAGUAAGUCCCUG